AUGGAUGCUGAUGCAAUUAGGAUUCCAUUUAAUUGUCCUGGUUGUGGAAAGUUUUUGAAGGAAGUUGUGCUGAGGUGAUGAAAGGGAAUAUCCAAGCUCAUCAGAAUCUAACGGCAUUGAAGCUCUACAAGGACUUACUACUGAGUUUCUAAACUCCCUCAGAACUUCAGGCUUGCCUAACCACAAAAUCAAAUUGAAAGU
Lupinus albus (white lupine) is the source of this 201-nucleotide non-coding RNA. NCBI's taxonomy places the organism in Eukaryota, Viridiplantae, Streptophyta, Magnoliopsida, Fabales, Fabaceae. The record is from the annotation of a GenBank genome assembly.